RNAcentral lists this ribosomal RNA (490 nucleotides) under uncultured bacterium. RNAcentral describes it as "partial 16S ribosomal RNA". It matches the Rfam family "Bacterial small subunit ribosomal RNA", at positions 28 to 507 of the family's 1533-position model. The record is from RNAcentral.
GAUGAACGCUAGCUACAGGCUUAACACAUGCAAGUCGCAGGGUAACAUGAGGAAAGCUUGCUUUCUUUGAUGACGACUGGCGCACGGGUGAGUAACGCGUAUCCAACCUUCCCAUAACUACGGGAUAACCCGUUGAAAGACGGCCUAAUACCGUAUGAUAUCGUUUGCUGACAUCAAAUAACGAUUAAAGGUUUAGCGGUUAUGGAUGGGGAUGCGUCUGAUUAGCUUGUUGGCGGGGUAACGGCCCACCAAGGCGACGAUCAGUAGGGGUUCUGAGAGGAAGGUCCCCCACAUUGGAACUGAGACACGGUCCAAACUCCUACGGGAGGCAGCAGUGAGGAAUAUUGGUCAAUGGGCGAGAGCCUGAACCAGCCAAGUAGCGUGCAGGAUGACGGCCCUAUGGGUUGUAAACUGCUUUUAUGUGGGGAUAAAGUGCGUGACGUGUCAUGCAUUGCAGGUACCACAUGAAUAAGGACCGGCUAAUUCCGUG